UACAGAGGUCCCAAGCGUUGUUCGGAUUCACUGGGCGUAAAGGGCGCGUAGGUGGUUGCGCAAGUCUGAUGUGAAAUCUCCGGGCUCAACCCGGAAAUGGCAUUGGAAACUGCGGGGCUAGAGGGUUGGAGGGGGGACUGGAAUACUUGGUGUAGCAGUGAAAUGCGUAGAUAUCAAGUGGAACACCAGUGGCGAAGGCGAGUCCCUGGACAACAGCUGACACUGAGGCACGAAAGCUAGGGGAGCAAACAGG
This 253-nucleotide ribosomal RNA is filed under the name uncultured bacterium. RNAcentral's name for it is "partial 16S ribosomal RNA". It matches the Rfam family "Bacterial small subunit ribosomal RNA", at positions 524 to 776 of the family's 1533-position model. The record is from RNAcentral.